GAGAUAGCUCAGUCAGUAGAGCACGAGACUCUUAAUCUCAGAGUCGUGGGUUCGAGCCCCAUGUUGGGCA
Molecule: non-coding RNA, 70 nt
Organism: Podarcis lilfordi (Lilford's wall lizard)
Lineage: Eukaryota; Metazoa; Chordata; Lepidosauria; Squamata; Lacertidae
Source: the annotation of a GenBank genome assembly